UACGUAGGGGGCAAGCGUUAUCCGGAUUUACUGGGUGUAAAGGGAGCGUAGGCGGCAAGGUAAGCCAGAAGUGAAAGCCCGCGGCUCAACUGCGGGACUGCUUUUGGAACUAUCUAGCUAGAUUGCAGGAGAGGGCGGUGGAACUCCAUGUGUAGCGGUAAAAUGCGUAGAUAUAUGGAAGAACACCAGUGGCGAAGGCGGCCGCCUGGCCUGUUGCUGACGCUGAGGCACGAAAGCGUGGGGAGCAAAUAGG
RNAcentral lists this ribosomal RNA (253 nucleotides) under uncultured Coprococcus sp. RNAcentral describes it as "partial 16S ribosomal RNA". It matches the Rfam family "Bacterial small subunit ribosomal RNA", at positions 524 to 776 of the family's 1533-position model. The record is from RNAcentral. Lineage: Bacteria; Bacillati; Bacillota; Clostridia; Lachnospirales; Lachnospiraceae.